GCAAUGUUGGUCUCCCACCCACAAUUGGAUGUUCUGAUUGGAUAUCAACUCCAUGAAAGAUGAAAUGCAUUGUUGUUUUCAUUGACCAAUUAGAAUAUCAAACGUGACAUUCAAUGUCU
Glycine max (soybean) is the source of this 119-nucleotide non-coding RNA. The record is from Rfam. Lineage: Eukaryota; Viridiplantae; Streptophyta; Magnoliopsida; Fabales; Fabaceae.